Molecule: transfer RNA, 75 nt
Filed under: Sphaerodactylus townsendi
Lineage: Eukaryota; Metazoa; Chordata; Lepidosauria; Squamata; Sphaerodactylidae
Description: tRNA-Ala
Source: RNAcentral
GGAGAAGCCGUGGCUCAGUGGGAGAGCAUCUGUUUUGCAUGCGGAAGAUCCCAGAUUCGAUUGCUGCUACCUCCA